CGCGUUACUUGAGCAUACUACUACUUUGGCUUAAAUUAAAUACUCAACAAGCAAAAUAAACAAGAUCCAAAACAUCAUCCAUAGCAAAGCCAGGUGACAGCUUCCUGGCCCUCACCAACUGCUGGGAUUAUUACACACAAUCGUUCCUGACAUUUGAAAUACUCCCACAACAGCUUCCAACCAUCUAUAACACGAGACCUAACAUAACAAGAUCAACUUAACAUAAGCAGAAGCCACAUGGGUAGAAAUGAGAGCAUGUGUGCAAUAGAUAAAAAGAUGAACCCUCAUUCCGAGACAUUUAUCAGAUUUUGUCCAGCUUUUCUGCCUUCACAACCGGGUUGGCUUUUGCUAUAGCAUCCUGAGCAGCACUUCGGUAAUCAUAGGGGCAGUUGUGUUUAUCCGAGUAACGAUGGAGUGAACAAAAGAGAUUUCCACAACGGCAAUUGAAGCCGGUUAGACCAACACGUUUCUUACAAGUUCCGCACCUGUUUGGAGUCUCUUUCACCUUCUCCUCACUCUUAAUGUCCAAAGAUGGAGUAGAGGAAGCCUGUGUUGAGAUGAGCAUCAAAUCUGCGGACCCAGCUUGUACAUCUACAUCAACAGUAGCAAUAGGCUCCUUCCCUCUGUCAUUGGGAUUGCCAUUCACAGCACAAUCAAUGGAUGCUGCAGCAACUUUAGCCUGUUCUUGCUUCAAUAUCAAGUCCUUGUGGCAUUUGGAACACAAAUUCAUUGUUGCUGCACUUCCAAAGAAUCCGCAGUUGUUGGCACAGAGCUUGGGAGCUUCAGGAGGAGCUUGACACCCUGUCUCGUUG
RNAcentral lists this long non-coding RNA (812 nucleotides) under Prunus persica (peach). Its description in RNAcentral is "long non-coding RNA (PPER_LNC001744)". The record is from RNAcentral. Lineage: Eukaryota; Viridiplantae; Streptophyta; Magnoliopsida; Rosales; Rosaceae.